AACGAACGCUGGCGGCAGGCUUAACACAUGCAAGUCGAGCGCCCCGCAAGGGGAGCGGCAGACGGGUGAGUAACGCGUGGGAACGUACCUUUUGGUUCGGAACAACUCCGGGAAACUGGAGCUAAUACCGGAUAAGCCCUAACGGGGAAAGAUUUAUCGCCGAAAGAUCGGCCCGCGUCUGAUUAGCUAGUUGGUGAGGUAACGGCUCACCAAGGCGACGAUCAGUAGCUGGUCUGAGAGGAUGAUCAGCCACACUGGGACUGAGACACGGCCCAGACUCCUACGGGAGGUAGCAGUGGGGAAUAUUGGACAAUGGGCGCAAGCCUGAUCCAGCCAUGCCGCGUGAGUGAUGAAGGCCUUAGGGUUGUAAAGCUCUUUUGUCCGGGAAGAUAAUGACUGUACCGGAAGAAUAAGCCCCGGCUAACUUCGUG
RNAcentral lists this ribosomal RNA (431 nucleotides) under uncultured bacterium. RNAcentral describes it as "partial 16S ribosomal RNA". It matches the Rfam family "Bacterial small subunit ribosomal RNA", at positions 29 to 507 of the family's 1533-position model. The record is from RNAcentral.